GCCUGGGUGGCUCAGUCGCUAGAGUUUGAAACUCUUGAUCUCAGGGUUGUGGGUUUGAGCCCCACGUUAGGUG
This 73-nucleotide transfer RNA is filed under the name Felis catus (domestic cat). Lineage: Eukaryota; Metazoa; Chordata; Mammalia; Carnivora; Felidae. The record is from Rfam by way of RNAcentral.